Long non-coding RNA from Oncorhynchus keta (chum salmon), 1421 nucleotides. RefSeq lists it as uncharacterized. The record is from RefSeq and is a predicted model, not a curated record. The transcript is spliced from 5 exons. Lineage: Eukaryota; Metazoa; Chordata; Actinopteri; Salmoniformes; Salmonidae.
CAAAAAUGCAAAAUUGACUGGUCUGAUGAACACAGGAUGGCCGAGCAGUGAUAGUUGUACAUUUCCAUCACUCGUUGUGUUGAUUUCAUCAUGUCCAUUUGUUUAUGUUUUCUCACUUUUGCAAAGUCACUGUGCAUUUGCAAUAUGGUUCAAUGGGCAGGUACCAUCACGAAUUUGUCAUGCUAUAAAAAUCCUGCAGGAAUGUGAAAUUGACUGGUCUGAUGAACACAGGAUGGCCGAGCAGUGAUAGUUGUACAUUUCCAUCACUUGUUGUGUUGAUUUCAUCAUGUCCAUUAGGUGAUGUUUUUUCACUAUAGAAUCAUAUUGCAAAUGCACGUGCAUUGUUGUGCAACUGGUAACCCAAAAAUAAAAAUAUGGUUGUAAAUGCAUUUACCGGUCAUUCUGAUAUUAAUGCUCGCUAUGGGAACACAGGAUGGCCGGGCAGUGAUAGUUGUACAUUUCCAUCACUCGUUGUGUUGAUUUCAUCAUGUCCAUUAGGUGAUGUUUUUACACUAUAGAAUCAUAUUGCAAGUGCGCGCGCAUUUGCAAUAUGUUUCAAUGUGCAUUUACCAUAUGAAAUUUGACAUGCUCAAAAAUGCAAAAUUGACUGGUCUGAUGGACACAGGAUGGCCGAGCAGUGAUAGUUGUACAUUUCCAUCACUCGUUGUGUUGAUUUCAUCAUGUCCAUUAGGUGAUGUUUUUUCACUAUAGAAUCAUAUUGCAAAUGCACGUGCAUUGUUGUGCAACUGGUAACCCAAAAAUUAAAAUAUGGUUGUAAAUGCAUUUACCGGUCAUUCUGAUAUUAAUGCUCGCUAUGGGAACACAGGAUGGCCGGGCAGUGAUAGUUGUACAUUUCCAUCACUCGUUGUGUUGAUUUCAUCAUGUCCAUUAGGUGAUGUUUUUUCACUAUAGAAUCAUAUUGCAAGUGCGCGCGCAUUUGCAAUAUGUUUCAAUGUGCAUUUACCAUAUGAAAUUUGACAUGCUCAAAAAUGCAAAAUUGACUGGUCUGAUGAACACAGGAUGGCUGAGCAGUGAUAGUUGUACAUUUCCAUCACUCGUUGUGUUGAUUUCAUCAUGUCCAUUAGGUGAUGUUUUUUCACUAUAGAAUCAUAUUGCAAAUGCACGUGCAUUGUUGUGCAACUGGUAACCCAAAAAUAAAAAUAUGGUUGUAAAUGCAUUUACCGGUCAUUCUGAUAUUAAUGCUCGCUAUGGGAACACAGGAUGGCCGGGCAGUGAUAGUUGUACAUUUCCAUCACUCGUUGUGUUGAUUUCAUCAUGUCCAUUAGGUGAUGUUUUUUCACUAUAGAAUCAUAUUGCAAGUGCGCGCGCAUUUGCAAUAUGUUUCAAUGUGCAUUUACCAUAUGAAAUUUGACAUGCUCAAAAAUGCAAAAUUGACUGGUCUGAUGAACACAGGAUGGCUG